RNAcentral lists this ribosomal RNA (451 nucleotides) under uncultured bacterium. RNAcentral's name for it is "bacterial SSU rRNA". It matches the Rfam family "Bacterial small subunit ribosomal RNA", at positions 354 to 796 of the family's 1533-position model. The record is from RNAcentral.
GUGGGGAAUAUUGGGCAAUGGGCGCAAGCCUGACCCAGCGACGCCGCGUGAGCGAUGAAGGCCUUCGGGUUGUAAAGCUCUGUUGGAUGGAAAGAGGGUUCGGACGGUUAAUACCCGUUCGAGCUGACGGUACCAUCUGAGGAAGCCCCGGCUAACUCCGUGCCAGCAGCCGCGGUAAUACGGAGGGGGCGAGCGUUGUUCGGAAUUAUUGGGCGUAAAGCGCAUGUAGGCGGCUUCGCAAGUCAGAAGUGAAAUCCCUGGGCUCAACCGAGGACCUGCUUUUGAAACUGCGAGGCUUGAGUGCGGGAGGGGAGAGCGGAAUUCCUGGUGUAGCAGUGAAAUGCGUAGAUAUCAGGAGGAACACCGGUGGCGAAGGCGGCUCUCUGGACCGUUACUGACGCUGAGAUGCGAAAGCGUGGGGAGCAAACAGGAUUAGAUACCCGAGUAGUCC